Sturnus vulgaris (Common starling) is the source of this 545-nucleotide long non-coding RNA. RefSeq lists it as uncharacterized. Lineage: Eukaryota; Metazoa; Chordata; Aves; Passeriformes; Sturnidae. The record is from RefSeq and is a predicted model, not a curated record.
CCCUGCAGGGCCAGCGGCAAGCUCUGCGUCCCUCAGGCGCAGGAAAUCGGUGCUGGUUGAGGCGGCUCCACAGCUUCACCUUCCCCCGCCAUGUUCCGGCGUGGCUCCCUCAGGGCCGGCGCCGCCUCUCCCCGGCCCCGGCGCUGAGCGGCUGCGGCGGCAGGACACGAGCGAGCCUGGACAAAAGCAUGAGGUGACCAAGAUGGUGUGACCAGAAAUGAAGGGUGAUCCUUCAGAAAAAGGCUGCCCAAGCAAGUUUCAAACACCUUUCUGACUUGAAACAGCAGCGGUGUAAGCAGGCUUUGGGGUGUGGCUAAACCCUGUCCGUGUAUUUCCCCCUUCCCCAGGGGCAGCGCUGAGCCGUGCAGGAGCCCCGGAGCAGAUAAUUCCUUGAGCUGCAGAAUGUCUGACAAACAUUGCAACUGAGAACUGGUUGGCAGCAUCCACGUCUGAUGGUUUGGAGGUUCCUAAAACUUGAUCAUCUGUGUUUUCUCUACAUGGUUAAGAAGAAUUUAAAUAAAAAAACUAAAUAAAGAUGCCACCUA